RNAcentral lists this ribosomal RNA (253 nucleotides) under uncultured bacterium. RNAcentral describes it as "partial 16S ribosomal RNA". It matches the Rfam family "Bacterial small subunit ribosomal RNA", at positions 524 to 776 of the family's 1533-position model. The record is from RNAcentral.
UACGAAGGGUGCAAACGUUGCUCGGAAUCAUUGGGCGUAAAGCGCACGUAGGCGGCUUCAAAAGUCGGAUGUGAAAUCCCUGGGCUCAACCGAGGAAGUGCAUCCGAAACUGCGGAGCUUGAGUAUGGAAGAGGGUCGCGGAAUUCCCGGUGUAGAGGUGAAAUUCGUAGAUAUCGGGAGGAACACCAGUGGCGAAGGCGGCGACCUGGGCCAAUACUGACGCUGAGGUGCGAAAGCGUGGGGAGCAAACAGG